GCUCCUGUAGCGCAAUUGGAAGUAGGCGGCUGUCUCAAAAACAGUCCAUGUGUGAGUUCGAGUCUCACCGGGAGCA
This 76-nucleotide transfer RNA is filed under the name Cyanobacteria bacterium FACHB-472. RNAcentral describes it as "tRNA-Leu". It matches the Rfam family "tRNA". Rfam says of the family: Transfer RNA (tRNA) molecules are approximately 80 nucleotides in length. Their secondary structure includes four short double-helical elements and three loops (D, anti-codon, and T loops). The record is from RNAcentral. Lineage: Bacteria; Bacillati; Cyanobacteriota.